Molecule: ribosomal RNA, 593 nt
Filed under: uncultured Russulaceae
Lineage: Eukaryota; Fungi; Basidiomycota; Agaricomycetes; Russulales; Russulaceae
Description: LSU rRNA
Rfam family: Eukaryotic large subunit ribosomal RNA
Source: RNAcentral
UAAGCGGAGGAAAAGAAACUAACAAGGAUUCCCCUAGUAACUGCGAGUGAAGCGGGAAAAGCUCAAAUUUAAAAUCUGGUGGCCUUUGUCCAUCCGAGUUGUAAUUUAGAGAAGCGUCUUCCGCGCUGGACCGUGCACAAGUCUCCUGGAACGGAGCGUCAUAGAGGGUGAGAAUCCCGUCUUUGGCACGGACACACCAGGGCUUUUGUGAUGCGCUCUCAAAGAGUCGAGUUGUUUGGGAAUGCAGCUCAAAAUGGGUGGUGAACUCCAUCUAAAGCUAAAUAUUGGCGAGAGACCGAUAGCGAACAAGUACCGUGAGGGAAAGAUGAAAAGCACUUUGGAAAGAGAGUUAAACAGUACGUGAAAUUGUUGAAAGGGAAGCGCUUGCAACCAGACUUGCGCGCUGUUGAUCAUCCGAGGUUCUCCCCGGUGCACUCGGCAGCGUUCAGGCCAGCAUCGGUUUUGGUGGGCGGAUAAAGGCCUUGGGAAUGUAGCUUCUUUCGGGGAGUGUUAUAGCCCUCGGUGCAAUGCGCCCUACCGGGACCGAGGACCGCGCUUCGGCUAGGAUGCUGGCGUAAUGGUUGUAAGCGACC